This 506-nucleotide long non-coding RNA is filed under the name Ictidomys tridecemlineatus (thirteen-lined ground squirrel). RNAcentral describes it as "lncRNA (ENSSTOG00000029599.1)". The record is from RNAcentral. Lineage: Eukaryota; Metazoa; Chordata; Mammalia; Rodentia; Sciuridae.
UCCUGCUAGAUUAUAAUACAUACCAUUUUUAUGAGAAGAUGAAAUGAGGAAAUGCAUUAUAAUCUGUUGGCUCCCCCCAAGCCGGGCCCCUCCCUCCACGCCAGCUCGCACCUCUUCUCCACCCGGUGCACCUGGGGCUGGCGCGGGCUCGGGACGCGUGCGGAGCGCCGCGAGCGCGGCGGAGGCAGAGGCGCGCUGACUGCCACCUCCAGCCCGCGCCCCAGGGACAGCUCGCGCGGAGCAACGGGCACCAUUCUCCGCGGCCGCUGCUCACGGCUGGCCGCGACCAUCGCCGCCGAAGCUACCGGCAGGCAGCCGUGCGUCCCCGGGACAGACAGCCCCGGAGGCUGCUCCUCCCGGAUGCCAGGGCCAGGGCGCCGGGCGGCGAGCAGCAGGAGGAUGAAGAGCUCAGCGGGAGGAAGGAGAGAAAAGCUCUUGGGGAUGCCUAAAGCUGAGCCCAGCCACGACCCAUUUACUUUGGAGGAGAGAAGAUUCUUUUUCACUCC